This 481-nucleotide long non-coding RNA is filed under the name Populus trichocarpa (black cottonwood). Its description in RNAcentral is "long non-coding RNA (PTRI_LNC002713)". Lineage: Eukaryota; Viridiplantae; Streptophyta; Magnoliopsida; Malpighiales; Salicaceae. The record is from RNAcentral.
UUUUGUGUAUUCUCUCCUUUAUUUGCUUUUGGUUCUGUGUGUCAAAGCUGUAUGUUCUGACGUCUGUGACAUUCUCCUCAAUGCAGGGAAAUUUAUUAAAUUCAACCAGGUAAAGAUUUUAUCCAUGGAUAACUGGUACUGGCAGUAGAUAUCUGACCUAAAUUGGCAGUAGAUAUCUGACCUAAAUUGGCAGUAGGAGUGGUUGAGUGGGAGGACUGUGAUGACCUCGAUAUUGCAGAUUGUUUAGUGGCUAGAGAAUGUAGUUUAAAAUUACCAGAAUAACUAUAACAUAAAUGCUGGGUUCAGGCGGUUUCAUGAAAAGAUUUGUGCUUCUGAAUUAAUGACUUUACAGUUAUGAUACAGAAUCUGGUAGUGGAAUACUAGUAUUAUUUCAUCAUGGAAAAUCCUGUGUGGAUGUGUGUGUGUGUGUGUGUGUGAAAGAGGCAUAUUUGGUUACUGAAAGCAUUGGUAAUUGCAAGUA